UGGGGAAUAUUGCACAAUGGGGGCAACCCUGAUGCAGCGACGCCGCGUGAGCGAAGAAGUUUUUCGAAUCGUAAAGCUCUGUCCUAUGAGAAUAUAAUGACGGUAUCAUAGGAGGAAGCCCCGGCUAAAUACGUGCCAGCAGCCGCGGUAAUACGUAUGGGGCGAGCGUUGUCCGGAAUUAUUGGGCGUAAAGGGUACGUAGGCGGUCUAUUAAGUCAGGUGUGAAAGCGUGAGGCUUAACCUCAUUAAGCACUUGAAACUGAUAGACUUGAGUGAAGGAGAGGAAAGUGGAAUUCCUAGUGUAGCGGUGAAAUGCGUAGAGAUGAGGAGGAAGACCGGUGGCGAAGGCGACUUGCUGGACUGUUACUGACGCUCAGGUACGAAAGCGUGGGGAGCAAACAGG
Molecule: ribosomal RNA, 403 nt
Filed under: Verrucomicrobiota bacterium
Lineage: Bacteria; Pseudomonadati; Verrucomicrobiota
Description: Verrucomicrobia bacterium partial 16S ribosomal RNA
Rfam family: Bacterial small subunit ribosomal RNA
Source: RNAcentral